This 229-nucleotide ribosomal RNA is filed under the name uncultured bacterium. RNAcentral describes it as "partial 16S ribosomal RNA". It matches the Rfam family "Bacterial small subunit ribosomal RNA", at positions 568 to 796 of the family's 1533-position model. The record is from RNAcentral.
UCCGUAGGCGGGCAAUUAAGUCAGAGGUGAAAUCCCACAGCUCAACUGUGGAACUGCCUUUGAUACUGGUUGUCUUGAGUUAUAGUGAGGUAGAUAGAAUAUGUAGUGUAGCGGUGAAAUGCAUAGAUAUUACAUAGAAUACCGAUUGCGAAGGCAGUCUACUAACUGUAUACUGACGCUAAUGGACGAAAGCGUGGGGAGCGAACAGGAUUAGAUACCCUGGUAGUCC